AGAAGUCAUGUAAAUACAUCGGAAAAUGGGACGACGAAUUUACUUUCCUAAAGAGGAGCAGGAUGGGGCACAGUCACGCGUUCUGUAAGAUUUGUAAAUGCGAUUUUAGUGUCUCCCACGGGGAAGGAACGAUGUCAGUCGGCAUGAAAAAUCCAAGUCAUUAGUGAAUGACAGAGAGCCGCAUGAGUGAACAUGAAAAAUUAAUAAAAAAUGUGCAAUGAAAAUAAAAUGUAAAUGACAAAUGGUUAUUUUAUAUUUCUUGUACACCUGUCUUAAAAUGUAAGGGAUACUGGAGCCUGGUUGCGGUGGUGGGAUGGCUCUCGGCGGGUGCCGGAAAAUUUCCUUUAUUUUCAAAUCCAAACCUUGACAGGUAUGCCAGUGAGACUUCUGUGAUUUCUCAACAGGUGCCAAGCCAUACGCGUGUGAUGAGUGUGAGUACCGCACAAACCGGGCAGAUGCCCUGCGUGUGCACCGCGAGACCCGCCAUUGCGACAACCGCGCAUUCAUCUGUGAGAAGUGUGGCAAGGGCUUCAAGACACGCUUCCUGCUGCGCACGCACCUACGCCGCCACAGCAACACCCAGCCCUAUGUGUGCCGUCUCUGCCGGCGUGCAUUUCGCUGGCCCGCGGGACUCCGGCACCACUUCCUCACACACUUGGAGUGCCAGCCCUUCUUUUGCCGCCACUGUUCCUACCGGGCCCGCCAGCGAUUCCAGGUGGUCAAGCAUCUCCGCCGGCACCACCCAGAGCAGCCCUUAGAGGAGGGUGUGGGCCAGGACCCGGGGCCACACUCGGUGUCACUGCAUGAGGCCCGGCUGGGCGAGGAGGAACAGGAAGGUGGUUCAGGGGAGUAACGGGAACUGGAGGUUGGGCUAAGGGGGGAACUGGAACUGGAGGUUGGGCCAAGGGAGGAACAGGAGGAUAGAACCGUGGAGGAACGGGAAUAGAAGGGUGAGUCAAGGGAGGAACAGGAGCCGGAAGAUUGACAGAGAUUAGAGCAGGAGUAGGCCUCGGACUCAUGAGUGCCCCAGCUCUCGCCCUGAACUCUCGCAGUCUCACACCGGUAACAACAGCAAGCUGCAGAGUGGCCUACUCUGUGUGGGAGCCUUAAUGUUAAAGUUGUGACGUUUAUCACACAGCUGCAAUAUUAAGAUACAAUAUUGUUAAGACAUAAACAUUUGUAUCUUAUUAUUAUUUGUAUCUUUUGAUUCUUUGCCUUGAACCAUGCGACACGGUGUGACCAACACUGUAUAGCCAAAACCAAACUUCACGCGUGGGUCUGUGUGUUGUGUAUGUGACACCUCCCCUGCAAGUUCCUCACUCUGUUUCGUUUAUUCACUUUGAGGCCAUUGACGAGCUUUGGCCCACCAGACAAAUGACAGUCAGCAGCUGCAGCACGAAGCUGGUGUCAGAGAAACUGGAAAACUGAUAGUUUUUCUGAAAUUUACAUUUGUUUAGCAGACACUGUUGUCCAAAGCAAUAUAUAAGUGAGGCAGAAAGUACAAGUAAACCAGUUGAUUGGCCAGUUAUUAGCCCUAACAUCAGGUGCUAUUUAGAUGGCACUGCAGGCACACAACUUUUUGAUCUGUGUAACGUUAGCAAACAGGGAGGUUUGGACACAAAAGCUUUUUCCUUCUAUAUCAACCGUAAUUUUGUUUCCUGUCCUGUUGUCUUCUGGUUUUUAUUCACUAUCCAUUUACACUACAACGUGGAAGGAGGUUCCACUGAUGUUGGUUAAUCUUUUUAAGCACUUUGGAGUCGACAUGUUUAGAAGGCACUGUAUAUAACAAACUGAAUUUGUGAACAGAAUCAUGCCAAAAAAACCUGUGGCACAAAGUACAUAUGUACAGAAUCAAGAUUAUGUGUAUUAAUAUUUCUUAUAAAUCUGUAAAUGUAAUUAAGAAACAUACUAAUAAGUGAUACACUGCCUCUUUCUUUACUGCUCAGCCACUUUAGGGGCAGCGUGUGACUUGGUGGGCUGACAUCUGAAGGUCACCAGUUCAAGCCCAGUCUCCGCAUGUCUGUGGGUCCUUGAGCAAGGCCCUUAUCCCCCAGCUCCCUGGGGGGCACAACAGGUGGCUACACUUUGUGGCUAGCUUGCUCUCACCUACAGACUGCAAGCUGGGGGAGGGAUAAAGAGAAUUUCCCUAUGGGGAUCAAUAAAGCAUUUGUUGUUAUUUUUUUU
This is a long non-coding RNA of Brienomyrus brachyistius, 2184 nucleotides long. RefSeq lists it as uncharacterized. The record is from RefSeq and is a predicted model, not a curated record. Lineage: Eukaryota; Metazoa; Chordata; Actinopteri; Osteoglossiformes; Mormyridae. The transcript is spliced from 2 exons.